Molecule: long non-coding RNA, 1343 nt
Organism: Agrilus planipennis (emerald ash borer)
Lineage: Eukaryota; Metazoa; Arthropoda; Insecta; Coleoptera; Buprestidae
Exons: 6
Source: RefSeq, a predicted model, not a curated record
UUAAUUUGUUCUUCGUCUGAAAGAUUGGCCAACAAUUGUGAGAGAUUGGAACUGAUAUCUUUGCUUACUGAAAAGAUAAGUCGUCUCCUAUGGUGUUUUAGCUGUUAACCUUUCAUCUUGGAGGCUCUUGUAGUUAAUUAAGGAACAUUAGAAGAACUCGGGAUACCAUUAAAUUACGAAAGUAUAGAGCGUUGGUUGUAUUAGUCCUCAUUUGCCCCAGAAAGUAGCUGUGCCCAUGAUUCUAAAGAAAGCAUGAAAGUGCCUUUUUUCCGUUGGGAUCGAAGCUGUUAAAUUUUCAUCCCGGAUGCUCUUGUAGUUAAUUAAGGGAUGUUAGAAGAACUCCAGAUGCCAUUAAAUUGUGGAGCAUUGAUUGUGUUGGUUCUCAUUGACUCCAAAAAGUGACUGUUCCUAUGGUCAUAAAGAAUGCAUGAAAGUGCCUUUCCAUUGGGAACGGAGACAAUGUGCGGAAGAAAUGUGCUGCUGAGGGAGGGAUUUAUGACAAUAAACUGAUUGCCCCACAAAUGACGAGGGAUUGCAGUUAAUUUUGAUGCUACUGAAGCAACCGAUGCUUUUGAUGUCUUCACUUUGCAACAUUAUGUAGUCAACUUUUACCGUAACAACAGGAGGCAGUUGGAAAUUAAUUAAUUUGGAAGAGACUGGAACAACAGAUUGUUUGCAGUGGUAUCCCUCCUAGAUUUGGUUUGCUCAUCACACUGGUAGACUUUAGAACGCCAUUUCUACAAUUAAGAAUAAAUUGACAUUUAUCAUUGAUCUGUCUAUGGAGUUUAUCUAUCUAUGAAGUUUAACUAUCUAUGGAGUUUAUAUAUCUAUGAAGUUUAACUCUCUAUGGAUUUUCUAUUUAACCUUUUGCUAUUGUCUGCAUCCUAAAUUGACGUCGAAUUAUUUGACAUUUAUCUAUGCCGUGAUCUAUGGUUGUGAUGUAAAAUGGCGUUGAAAUAACGCUUGUUAAUUUAUAAUUCAACUAGUUUUACUUGUGUUUUGAUGCGUUUUUAUUCGUGUUUCUUAAUUAUAAGUGUAAUUAAUGUGCUUUUUUGUCCUUUUGUGCAGGUCAUACAGUAACUGAGAGAGAAUUAAUGUUCAGUUUGUUUAUACUGAAAUAGGCAAUGUCUACAUGGGUGUGGUCUUUCGUGGAUUAUAUACUUGAUUUGCUAUUUCUUCUUCGCCUUGUAACAUCGUGCAGUUAAUUUUCAACUCAUGAGUGAGAGCAAGUGGAUAUUUGAAUUCCACUGAAGUAAGAAAUUCUCUGCUACGGUGUUCCUCUUGGAAUUGGUUUGCUUUUUGCACCUGUAAACUUUGGAACGUUACGUUCUACAAUUAAACAA